ACGGAAGGCAGCAGUGAGGGAUAUUGCACAAUGGAGGGAACUCUGAUGCAGCGAUGCCGCGUGGAGGAAGAAGGUUUUCGGAUUGUAAACUCCUGUUUCGAGGAACGAUAAUGACGGUACCUCGGGAGGAAGCUCCGGCUAACUACGUGCCAGCAGCCGCGGUAAUACGUAGGGAGCGAGCGUUGUCCGGAAUUACUGGGUGUAAAGGGAGCGCAGGCGGGACAGCAAGUCAGAUGUGAAAACUAUGGGCUCAACCCAUAACGUGCAUUUGAAACUGCAGUUCUUGAGUGAAGUAGAGGUAAGCGGAAUUCCUAGUGUAGCGGUGAAAUGCGUAGAUAUUAGGAGGAACAUCGGUGGCGAAGGCGGCUUACUGGGCUUUUACUGACGCUGAGGCUCGAAAGCGUGGGGAGCAAACAGGAUUAGAUACCCUGGUA
This 434-nucleotide ribosomal RNA is filed under the name uncultured Ruminococcus sp. Its description in RNAcentral is "bacterial SSU rRNA". It matches the Rfam family "Bacterial small subunit ribosomal RNA", at positions 341 to 792 of the family's 1533-position model. The record is from RNAcentral. Lineage: Bacteria; Bacillati; Bacillota; Clostridia; Eubacteriales; Oscillospiraceae.